AAUCUUCACAAUAACUCUGUGAUGUAAAUCCCCAUUUUACCAUUGAGUAAACUAAGACAAAGAGAGGUUAAGUGACUUGUCCAGGGUCACACAUCUAGUAAGUAUCUGAGGAUGGAUUUGAUAUUGGGUCUUCCUGACUCCAGCUCAGUGCUCUGAUCCACUAUGCCACCAGCAUCCUCUAUAGACCAGGAAGAGCCUCAGGGCAGCAGAUUGUCAUGUCCUCCUUUUCCAGUAACAAUGGUCAUAUUCAUUUAAUUAUUUCCAGGGUAAGGACAAGAUGUAGAAAGGGGUGGAUGAGUAGAUGGCAAGCUAUAUCUGUCUUUGGUAGAUCCCCACUGUCCUGAUGGCUGGUUGGCUGGGAAAAUACAGCAUGUCAUCUUAGGCACACUCACUAUUCAGGACAGCUCUGCAUCAAGGGAAAGGUGCAGAGCUUAUUGGAUCAACUUGCUGAUGGGUAGGAGACCUGGCAGGGACAUCUGAUCAGCAAAAAGGCUGAUAGCAAGAUGCCUAUGAUGAGUCAUUGAGAAUCGCCCACAAUGCCAAGUACAUAGUCUUACAUGAGUGAUCUGUUAUCAUAUCAAUUUGGGACUUCCCUCCAGUGGCAAAGACUGCUCAUCCUGUUUGACUUUUGGCUACGUCCUCCUAUCCUGUCGAUUUUUCAAGGUCCAAGUCAAGUCCCAUCAGUUCAACUAAGCUUUCUUCAACUAUUCUUGGC
This 715-nucleotide long non-coding RNA is filed under the name Monodelphis domestica (gray short-tailed opossum). Its description in RNAcentral is "lncRNA (ENSMODG00000040130.1)". The record is from RNAcentral. Lineage: Eukaryota; Metazoa; Chordata; Mammalia; Didelphimorphia; Didelphidae.